This 28-nucleotide small RNA is filed under the name Bombyx mori (domestic silkworm). RNAcentral describes it as "ovarian small RNA-34532". The record is from RNAcentral. Lineage: Eukaryota; Metazoa; Arthropoda; Insecta; Lepidoptera; Bombycidae.
UGGACAUCAUGGCGACCAUGUCGUUGAC